This 406-nucleotide ribosomal RNA is filed under the name uncultured bacterium. RNAcentral's name for it is "partial 16S ribosomal RNA". It matches the Rfam family "Bacterial small subunit ribosomal RNA", at positions 30 to 526 of the family's 1533-position model. The record is from RNAcentral.
AUUGCACGCUGGCGGCAGGCCUAACACAUGCAAGUCGAACGAGCGGCGGACGGGUGAGUAAUGUCUGGGAAUCUGCCUGAUAGAGGGGGAUAACUACUGGAAACGGUGGCUAAUACCGCAUACCAUCCGAUGAGCCCAGAUGGGAUUAGCUAGUAUGUGGGGUAACGGCUCACCAAGGCCCCGAUCACUAGCUGGUCUGAGAGGUUGACCAGCCACACUGGGACGGAGACACGGUCCAGACUCCUACGGGAGGCAGCAGUGGGGAAUAUUGCACAAUGGGCGCAAGCCUGAUGCAGCCAUGCCGCGUGUAUGAAGAAGGCCUUCGGGUUGUAAAGUACUUUCAUCGGGGAGGCGUUACCCGCAGAAGAAGCACCGGCUAACUCCGUGCCAGCAGCCGCGGUAAUAC